GGUAUUUUUUUUACUCGUACACCAGUCUCGAGAUGGCUUUACUUACCCUUCUCAUCUGAUAGAGCUUUUCAUCCUGAGCAAUUUGAACCCCAUAUAUACCCUCCGCAAAUUAUUUAUCAUGUUGACAGUGAUUUUUAAAGAUUUACCUAUUUCGGGCAAACGCCCAUUGAGCAGCCGCAACAUACCCUCAGGUGUAUUGUCUGGGUGGUAACUGACAGUGAUUUAUUAAAGAUUUAUCUACUUGGGGCAAUGUAGGUUACUAUCGAGUGGCUAGGUUACUAUCGAGUGGCUAGGUUACUAUCGAGUGGCUAGGUUACUAUUGAGUGGCUAGGUUACUAUCGAGUGGCUAGGUUACUAUCGAGUGGCUAGGUUACUAUCGAGUGGCUAGGUUACUAUUGAGUGGCUAGGUUACUAUCGAGUGGCUAGGUUACUAUCGAGUGGCUAGGUUACUAUCGAGUGGCUAGGUUACUAUCGAGUGGCUAGGUUACUAUCGAGUGGCUAGGUUACUAUUGAGUGGCUAGGUUACUAUUGAGUGGCUAGGUUACUAUCGAGUGGCUAGGUUACUAUUGAGUGGCUAGGUUACUAUCGAGUGGCUAGGUUACUAUUGAGUGGCUAGGUUACUAUUGAGUGGCUAGGUUACUAUCGAGUGGCUAGGUUACUAUCGAGUGGCUAGGUUACUAUCGAGUGGCUAGGUUACUAUUGAGUGGCUAGGUUACUAUUGAGUGGCUAGGUUACUAUCGAGUGGCUAGGUUACGAUCCAAGGGCUUAAUGAUCUUUAGUUUCGUUUCCAGUAGGAAAUUCCUAUGGCUGCGUGUACUGUGAGUGUGUGCCGCUGCUGCUUCUCAUUUGUGAGGACGAAACUAUUUUUUCCUGGUAGAUUUCUGUCUAUUUAAGGGUUUUUAGUGAUUAGGCUAUGAAGUGUAGACUAACUCAACAAGAUUACCACUAGGACAACAACGUACAACAAUUAAUUACAAUUAAUUACCAUUGUUAUUCAUCCAGGUCUCACAAAAUUACACGCAGUAUUGUUGAACGUGGAAUUGGACAACUCAAACGCCGAUUUCAUGUUUUGCAUGGUGAGGUACGAUUGAGGCCCCCCCUCAAGGUGUGCAAAAUCAUUCA
Molecule: long non-coding RNA, 1122 nt
Organism: Eriocheir sinensis (Chinese mitten crab)
Lineage: Eukaryota; Metazoa; Arthropoda; Malacostraca; Decapoda; Varunidae
Exons: 3
Source: RefSeq, a predicted model, not a curated record